RNAcentral lists this ribosomal RNA (492 nucleotides) under uncultured bacterium. RNAcentral's name for it is "partial 16S ribosomal RNA". It matches the Rfam family "Bacterial small subunit ribosomal RNA", at positions 29 to 507 of the family's 1533-position model. The record is from RNAcentral.
AGUGAACGCUGGCGGUAGGCCUAACACAUGCAAGUCGAACGGCAGCACAGUAAGAGCUUGCUCUUACGGGUGGCGAGUGGCGGACGGGUGAGGAAUACAUCGGAAUCUACUUUUUCGUGGGGGAUAACGUAGGGAAACUUACGCUAAUACCGCAUACGACCUACGGGUGAAAGCAGGGGAUCUUCGGACCUUGCGCGAUUGAAUGAGCCGAUGUCGGAUUAGCUAGUUGGCGGGGUAAAGGCCCACCAAGGCGACGAUCCGUAGCUUGUCUGAGAGGAUGAUCAGCCACACUGGAACUGAGACACGGUCCAGACUCCUACGGGAGGCAGCAGUGGGGAAUAUUGGACAAUGGGCGCAAGCCUGAUCCAGCCAUACCGCGUGGGUGAAGAAGGCCUUCGGGUUGUAAAGACCUUUUGUUGGGAAAGAAAAGCAGCAGGUUAAUACCACGCUGUUCUGACGGUACCCAAAGAAUAAGCACCGGCUAACUUCGUG